AGUGGAUGGAUCAGAGAAUGAAGCUAGCACUGCAGUGCAUAAAAUGUGACAGCUGAUGUGUUCUGCACUGAAGUCCACAAGCCAAUGGAAAAGUUCUUGGUAGCUGAGGGCUCAGCCAUAGAACUAGAAAUAGAAUACCAGAGCUCAUCUCAUCCUCCUGUGGAAGCAGCUGAAACAACAUGAAUAACUCCAGGGCUCGGUUGUCUCCUUUUGUCUAUAAUCCAAUAAUAAUCCCUCAAAUCACAAUGAAGAGGUGUGAGAAGACCGGAUUCGAUCUAUUCUGGCCAUGGAUACCAUUGGCUGGGGUGAUGUCACAGGACGA
RNAcentral lists this long non-coding RNA (322 nucleotides) under Salmo salar (Atlantic salmon). RNAcentral describes it as "lncRNA (ENSSSAG00000115401.1)". The record is from RNAcentral. Lineage: Eukaryota; Metazoa; Chordata; Actinopteri; Salmoniformes; Salmonidae.